Corythoichthys intestinalis (scribbled pipefish) is the source of this 529-nucleotide long non-coding RNA. RefSeq lists it as uncharacterized. The transcript has 3 exons. NCBI's taxonomy places the organism in Eukaryota, Metazoa, Chordata, Actinopteri, Syngnathiformes, Syngnathidae. The record is from RefSeq and is a predicted model, not a curated record.
AGCUUUUCAGAUUUCGCUCUUAAGUGUUUUACUCAGUUGAAUUGUAUUAAAUGCGUCAUUCGCUCUCUCAAAAAGUCACAUAAAAAAAAAAUAAUAAUAAUUGACCGCGUAGUUUUUGAGUUAUGGCCAUAGCAACACCAUAGCAACGAGGGACGCGCCGUCCUGCCGACCCCUACCUCAUGACGUAACUUCCAGGAAGCCUCGCCACCACUCUGAACGCGGAAAUAUAGCACCACGCUAUCCUCGCCAUAUAUUGCAUACAUUUUCUGGGUUUUACUCGCGGGAUUCGUCAUGCCAUCUCGAUGUGUAGCGAUGAAUUACUCACAGGAAGAUUCGAGACUCUAGGAGUGGUCCCAAAAAAACUUCUCCUGCAAAGCCACGACAGCUUUGAAAACCUACAACAAUGCAACCUUGGUUUUGCAAAGACGAAGCCAAACAUAAAAAAUUAAGUGGCGGAAACCCUCAACACGAUGAAAAAAGCGUUGCAAGUCAGUUGCCACCCAGUUUCCCAAAAUCAAGAGAGAGUGGG